RNAcentral lists this unclassified non-coding RNA (191 nucleotides) under fungal sp. Its description in RNAcentral is "partial internal transcribed spacer region". The stretch from base 1 to 46 matches the Rfam family "Eukaryotic small subunit ribosomal RNA", at positions 1786 to 1831 of the family's 1831-position model. The record is from RNAcentral. Lineage: Eukaryota; Fungi.
AAGUCGUAACAAGGUUUCCGUAGGUGAACCUGCGGAAGGAUCAUUAACAAAGAUUCUUAUUAUCUUAACCGUGUCUUGUUGUAAUGUUCUUGGCAAGGACGAAUACUUGCCAAUAUUUUUAACAACAAUUUUAUUUUCUGAUAUAAAACUUAAUGAGAUACAACUGUUAACAACGGAUCACUCGGUUCUCA